RNAcentral lists this ribosomal RNA (282 nucleotides) under Acinetobacter baumannii. RNAcentral's name for it is "partial 23S ribosomal RNA". It matches the Rfam family "Bacterial large subunit ribosomal RNA", at positions 1285 to 1570 of the family's 2925-position model. Lineage: Bacteria; Pseudomonadati; Pseudomonadota; Gammaproteobacteria; Moraxellales; Moraxellaceae. The record is from RNAcentral.
GAAGUGCGAAUGCUGACAUAAGUAACGAUAAAGCGGGUGAAAAGCCCGCUCGCCGGAAGACCAAGGGUUCCUGUCCAACGUUAAUCGGGGCAGGGUGAGUCGACCCCUAAGGCGAGGCCGAAAGGCGUAGUCGAUGGGAAACAGGUUAAUAUUCCUGUACUUGGUGUUACUGCGAAGGGGGGACGGAGAAGGCUAUGUUAGCCGGGCGACGGUUGUCCCGGUUUAAGCAUGUAGGCUGAUUGUCCAGGCAAAUCCGGAUAAUCAAGGCUGAGGUGUGAUGAC